GGACCCGGCACUUGGCCUUGUUGUCACCCCAUUGAUUGCCAGGGUUGAUUCGGCUGAUCUGGCUGGCUAGGUGGGUGUCUCCUUCCUCUCUCACUGCUCCAUGUGCAUCCCACCCAAAGCUGUGCACUUGCUUGAAGAGGACGACCUUCCCUGAUAGAGGUGUACCAUUCAUCAGUCAAGGGUUUAUGGUAGCUGCACUCCCCUGCUAGAAUCUCCAGACAAGCUCAAGGUCCAUUUGUAGGAGAACUGCUAGAGUGAGGUUUCAGCAACUCGCCUCACUCAAGCCCCGAGUUGGCCAAACUGAGCUACAGCAACCUCAGUUGCU
This 325-nucleotide small nuclear RNA is filed under the name Anser brachyrhynchus (Pink-footed goose). RNAcentral's name for it is "7SK RNA (ENSABRG00000009878.1)". It matches the Rfam family "7SK RNA". Rfam says of the family: 7SK was discovered as an abundant small nuclear RNA in the mid-70s but a possible function has only recently been suggested. Two independent studies have found that 7SK RNA binds the CDK9/cyclin T complex (known as elongation factor P-TEFb). The record is from Rfam by way of RNAcentral. Lineage: Eukaryota; Metazoa; Chordata; Aves; Anseriformes; Anatidae.